This 490-nucleotide ribosomal RNA is filed under the name uncultured bacterium. RNAcentral describes it as "partial 16S ribosomal RNA". It matches the Rfam family "Bacterial small subunit ribosomal RNA", at positions 28 to 507 of the family's 1533-position model. The record is from RNAcentral.
GAUGAACGCUAGCGGCAGGCCUAAUACAUGCAAGUCGAACGGGAUCCAGAUCAAAGCUUGCUUUGGUCUGGUGAGAGUGGCGCACGGGUGCGUAACGCGUGAGCAACCUACCCUUGUCAGGGGGAUAGCCCGGCGAAAGUCGGAUUAAUACCGCAUGACAUCAUUGAGAGGCAUCUUUCGAUGAUCAAAGAUUUAUCGGACAAGGAUGGGCUCGCGUGACAUUAGCUAGUUGGUAAGGUAACGGCUUACCAAGGCUGCGAUGUCUAGGGGCUCUGAGAGGAGAAUCCCCCACACUGGUACUGAGACACGGACCAGACUCCUACGGGAGGCAGCAGUAAGGAAUAUUGGUCAAGGGACGGAAGUCUGAACCAGCCAUGCCGCGUGCAGGAAGACGGCCCUAUGGGUUGUAAACUGCUUUUAUACGGGAACAAACGUCGGUACGGGUACCGGUCUGAGUGUACCGUAAGAAUAAGGAUCGGCUAACUCCGUG